UCUGGAGUAAACCAACAACGCCUUAACAACAUCAACUACAAUCAUCCAAUUCUACAGGAAUUAUACAUGUGCAUAGACAAAUUAGCAAACUAAAAAGUAAAGAUAAACACACGCACACCACCCAAUUCUACAUACACAUAAAAACAACAAACUCCAACUACUACUAUCACUACUGGAAGAAGGUGGCCUAAUUUUGAACACUCACUUCCGUCGCAGAACCAGGCUUCACCUUUGGGGGCCGACCCCUUGGCCUCCCAGUCCCCGUUGCCAUUGCCACAGCUGUGGUUGUAGUAGUUCCACUCAUUCCUCCUGUAGGCCGUGCCAUCUUGCGUGGCCUCCCUCUUGGCUUUCCACUACCUGUAGCUGCAACCUUUGGCUUCACUGGCUUUGGGAUUGGGGGUGCAUUUGGGUCCUUUGGUGGACGGCCCCUAGGUCUGGCACGGGCCACAACUGAACCCGGUGGUAAUGGAACCUUGGCUUUGGGGGGCCUCCCACGGCCACGCCUCGGAGGUGCAUUGGGCUCUGCUUUCAUGUAGUUGUUUUUCCAAAAGACUAACUCCCCAGUAUCCUUCAUUCUGUUGAGGUGGUGUGAGAGUAGCGUUGUGUGGGCGGCUGGCAAUUCCCCAUAUUUUGAUUCAAUAUACUUUGAAAUGGAUGUCUUAUUGGAGCCGUUUUUCUCAUUCAAAGCUUCAACUGCUGCCAAAAUCAUCUCAGGGUAAGGAGGGAGUGAUAAAGGCUUAUCAAUCUCUUCAGCAGCCAUUAAUUUUCCCAAGAGAGAGAAAGAGAUAGAGAGGGAAAGUGAUAAACUUCUUCAAAGUCCAAACUCGGUGAGUCCCCACAGCCACAAGGGCAGCUCCCAACAAC
This 864-nucleotide unclassified non-coding RNA is filed under the name Hevea brasiliensis (rubber tree). The record is from RNAcentral. Lineage: Eukaryota; Viridiplantae; Streptophyta; Magnoliopsida; Malpighiales; Euphorbiaceae.